This 253-nucleotide ribosomal RNA is filed under the name uncultured bacterium. RNAcentral describes it as "partial 16S ribosomal RNA". It matches the Rfam family "Bacterial small subunit ribosomal RNA", at positions 524 to 776 of the family's 1533-position model. The record is from RNAcentral.
UACGUAGGGUCCGAGCGUUGUCCGGAAUUACUGGGCGUAAAGAGCUCGUAGGUGGUUUGUCGCGUUGUUCGUGAAAACUCACAGCUCAACUGUGGGCGUGCGGGCGAUACGGGCAGACUUGAGUACUGCAGGGGAGACUGGAAUUCCUGGUGUAGCGGUGGAAUGCGCAGAUAUCAGGAGGAACACCGGUGGCGAAGGCGGGUCUCUGGGCAAUAACUGACGCUGAGGAGCGAAAGCGUGGGGAGCGAACAGG